This 492-nucleotide ribosomal RNA is filed under the name uncultured bacterium. RNAcentral describes it as "partial 16S ribosomal RNA". It matches the Rfam family "Bacterial small subunit ribosomal RNA", at positions 29 to 507 of the family's 1533-position model. The record is from RNAcentral.
AGUGAACGCUGGCGGUAGGCCUAACACAUGCAAGUCGAACGGCAGCACAGUAAGAGCUUGCUCUUACGGGUGGCGAGUGGCGGACGGGUGAGGAAUACAUCGGAAUCUACUUUUUCGUGGGGGAUAACGUAGGGAAACUUACGCUAAUACCGCAUACGACCUACGGGUGAAAGCAGGGGAUCUUCGGACCUUGCGCGAAUGAAUGAGCCGAUGUCGGAUUAGCUAGUUGGCGGGGUAAAGGCCCACCAAGGCGACGAUCCGUAGCUGGUCUGAGAGGAUGAUCAGCCACACUGGAACUGAGACACGGUCCAGACUCCUACGGGAGGCAGCAGUGGGGAAUAUUGGACAAUGGGCGCAAGCCUGAUCCAGCCAUACCGCGUGGGUGAAGAAGGCCUUCGGGUUGUAAAGCCCUUUUGUUGGGAAAGAAAAGCAGCAGGUUAAUACCCCGCGGUUCUGACGGUACCCAAAGAAUAAGCACCGGCUAACUUCGUG